GACAAACGCUGGCGGCGUGCUCAACACAUGCAAGUCGAACGGAAAGGCCCUGCUUUUGUGGGGUGCUCGAGUGGCGAACGGGUGAGUAACACGUGAGUAACCUGCCCUUGACUUUGGGAUAACUUCAGGAAACUGGGGCUAAUACCGGAUAGGAGCUCCUGCUGCAUGGUGGGGGUUGGAAAGUUUCGGCGGUUGGGGAUGGACUCGCGGCUUAUCAGCUUGUUGGUGGGGUAGUGGCUUACCAAGGCUUUGACGUGUAGCCGGCCUGAGAGGGUGACCGGCCACAUUGGGACUGAGAUACGGCCCAGACUCCUACGGGAGGCAGCAGUGGGGAAUAUUGCACAAUGGGCGGAAGCCUGAUGCAGCAACGCCGCGUGCGGGAUGACGGCCUUCGGGUUGUAAACCGCUUUCGCCUGUGACGAAGCGUGAGUGACGGUAAUGGGUAAAGAAGCACCGGCUAACUACGUG
This 468-nucleotide ribosomal RNA is filed under the name uncultured bacterium. Its description in RNAcentral is "partial 16S ribosomal RNA". It matches the Rfam family "Bacterial small subunit ribosomal RNA", at positions 28 to 507 of the family's 1533-position model. The record is from RNAcentral.